Small nuclear RNA from Echinops telfairi (small Madagascar hedgehog), 165 nucleotides. Its record names the gene U1. It matches the Rfam family "U1 spliceosomal RNA". From Rfam's summary of the family: U1 is a small nuclear RNA (snRNA) component of the spliceosome (involved in pre-mRNA splicing). Its 5' end forms complementary base pairs with the 5' splice junction, thus defining the 5' donor site of an intron. The record is from Ensembl. Lineage: Eukaryota; Metazoa; Chordata; Mammalia; Afrosoricida; Tenrecidae.
GUGCUUACCUGGCAGGGUAGACACCAUGAUCACAAAGGUGGUUUUCCCACACGAGGCUCACCCAGUGCACUCCGGCUGUGCUGACCCCGGCGAUUUCCAUAAAUGCAGGGAAACUCGACUGCAUACUUUGUGUUCAUGGGGGCGCUGUGUUCACGCUCUCCCCUG